UGCCCUGCUGCUSGAGGUGCUGCCAAUCCUGGGGCCCCCCUCGUCCCUGGGCAGGAUCGUGCUGAGCCGGGACGAGCUGCUCCGCAAGAUCCUGGAGCUGCUGCAGCUGCUGCCCCCAACCCUGCUGGGGCUCCAGCCCUGCCAGCCCCCUGACUGUCACAGCCUGGRAAUCYUGGACAAGCUCAUCCUUGGGGGGCUGCUGGAGGAGGAGGAGGCAGACAGUGAGUGCCGGGGCUGUGACGUGGCCCCCCGGCCCUACUCGCAGGGACGUUCCUGGGGCUCCUUCACGGAUGACAGCGACAGUGACAGCGAGCACGGUGUCCCCAAGCAGUGC
Malurus melanocephalus (red-backed fairy wren) is the source of this 334-nucleotide long non-coding RNA. RefSeq lists it as uncharacterized. Lineage: Eukaryota; Metazoa; Chordata; Aves; Passeriformes; Maluridae. The transcript has 3 exons. The record is from RefSeq and is a predicted model, not a curated record.